Molecule: transfer RNA, 67 nt
Filed under: Furcatopanorpa longihypovalva
Lineage: Eukaryota; Metazoa; Arthropoda; Insecta; Mecoptera; Panorpidae
Description: tRNA-Ser
Source: RNAcentral
GAAAUAUGUAAUUCAAGAAGAAGCUGCUAACUUCUAUCUUUAGUGGUUUAAUUCCAUUAAUAUUUCU